CAUCAGACACGAAGGAGAGGCCAACAGAUGAGGGAAGCCAUUUUUCUGCAAUGGAAUUAAAUGGCCAAAGCAGUAAACAGUCCUCAGCGAAGCCGCCUUUUUGCCUACCCAACCCUGGAAAGUUUGCAGAAGUGGAAGGAGCAGAACGUGAGGGUGUAACUUACAAAAAGGUUCUGGGCCGGAGAAGGGGCGACGUUCGGGCACCCCCCGAAUGGACAAUCUUUCCUUCUGUCAACGGCAGGGGCAGGCCUAGUUUGACUCUGACAGUCCUCCCACUAAGGAAUUCCUGGUGACUGGAAGGGGGAGUGACUCAGGCCCUCAACCUCUAGCAGAGUGCCUUGGCUCCCUCCUGUCGUCCUGGGGAACCUCGGCCCCAGCCCUGCCUCCCCAGCCAGUCACAGCUCCUCCCUGGUCACCCUGAGGGAGCUCAGGGCCCGGCUGGUAGCUGGGUUGCUCUGCUUCUGUCCCCCACUCCUGUGGAGCCUGGCAGGCAACUCCAUGAUCUGACCCCGGUUACCUUGACAGCCCUGCCUGGCCUCCCCUCUCAUGGCCCAGCCACCCCAGAACCUGAAGAGGUUUUCUAGCUGCCGUGCAUUUGCCAGGCUGGGUUACCCACCCUACUUUCCCUGCCUGCCCUCCAGUGCUGCCAGGCCUAGUGUGCCAGCCAGCGCUCAGCCUUCAGUAAAGGGUUCCCCUGCUUCCAACCUCCAUUGCACUGCUUCCCCUAAGACUGUGACCUCCUGGAAGGCUGGAGCACAACUGCCUCUCAAUAAACGUGUUGCAAAAAAGGAA
Molecule: long non-coding RNA, 792 nt
Filed under: Homo sapiens (human)
Lineage: Eukaryota; Metazoa; Chordata; Mammalia; Primates; Hominidae
Description: long independently transcribed non-coding RNA 1089, transcript variant 4 (LINC01089)
Source: RNAcentral